UUCAGUCUCGGCCAGAUCAAGAAAGCCAUCCCACCUCAUUGCUUUCAGCGCUCUGUUAUCCGCUCCUUCUCCUAUGUCUUUUAUGACCUUACCAUUGCCUUUCUCCUGUACUACAUUGCUUGCAAUUACAUCCAGCCUCUCUCUCAACCUUUCUCUUUCUUGGCGUGGCCAGUUUACUGGUAUGUUCAGGGCUGUGUCCUGACUGGUGUUUGGGUGAUAGCGCAUGAGUGUGGUCACCAUGCUUUUAGUGAUUAUCAAUGGCUGGAUGACACAGUCGGUCUAAUCCUCCACUCUGCCCUCCUUGUGCCUUACUUUUCUUGGAAGUAUAGCCAUCGCCGUCACCACUCUAACACAGGUUCCAUUGAGCGAGAUGAGGUCUUUGUCCCCAAGCAGAAGUCUGCUAUUGGAUGGUACUCCAAAUAU
This 423-nucleotide long non-coding RNA is filed under the name Prunus persica (peach). RNAcentral's name for it is "long non-coding RNA (PPER_LNC007295)". Lineage: Eukaryota; Viridiplantae; Streptophyta; Magnoliopsida; Rosales; Rosaceae. The record is from RNAcentral.